This 969-nucleotide ribosomal RNA is filed under the name Triticum aestivum (bread wheat). RNAcentral's name for it is "partial small subunit ribosomal RNA". Lineage: Eukaryota; Viridiplantae; Streptophyta; Magnoliopsida; Poales; Poaceae. The record is from RNAcentral.
AUGGCUCUGUGGAGUGGGCUGGGUCAGGCAGCGACAGUGGCGCAGCUGGUUGGCGCGGACGUAGGCGGCCUCAUCUCCAUGAUCGUGCAGGCUGCGCUGACGGCUCGGAAGAACAGGAAUGAGUGCGAGCAACUCGCUCGUCGGGUCCUCAUGAUCGCGCAGCUGCUGCCACACGUACAGGAACCGGAGGCGGCGCAGCCGUUCACCGGGCUGGGGGACACGCUGUGGGACGCCCAUGAGCUUGUCGUGUCAUGCCAGGGCAGGAGCACAAUCUACCAGUUCGUCAUGGCCGCCAGGAUGGCCGAGAGGUUCAAGGAGGUGCAGAGCAAGAUCAACUCGUACCUCAUCCUCUUCCCUGUGAUCAGCCACAUCGGCAUAACACGGCGCCUUGAACGAAUCUACAACGUCCUCGUACAAAGUGAAUCCAUGAGGGGUGAACCGCCGCAUCCACUUCCAAAGUCGUCCCAGCUGCUGCAGGGAUACAUGCUCACUGCUCAUUUGUGGUCUCUUUCUCAGGAGUCUACGGUGAUGGCUCAGGAGGUACUGCCACAGACGACCCAGGAAUUCACGUUCGCUGAGAUGGUGGCUGCCACCAAUAACUUCGCCCUUGACACCGUGAUCGGUAAUGGCAACUCUGCAACCCUGUACAGGGGCAGGCUUCACGAUGGGCAAGUGGUGGCCAUCAAGCGCUUCAGGCAGACGCAACGGGAGUGCUUCAGGCAGACGCAACGGGAGUUCGUGCUAGAGCAAUUCGGAACGGAGCUCCACAUUCUACGACGGCUCCGACACAAACACAUUGUCCGCCUCCUUGGAACGUGUGUGAGCAAGGAGAAGCGCCCGCAAAACGGGAGGAUAACGGAGAUGGAGAGGCUGAUUAUCUUGGAGUACUUUGAGAAUCGCACCCUUUUCGAGCACCUGGACCUUCAGCAGGGCUCCUCAGCGUUGUCACCAAGCAACCAAGCAGCCUAG